UCUAAAAAUAAAUAUAAUGAUGAUAGAUAAAUAUAGUAUGAUAAUCAAAAAAUGUUUAGUAUAGAAAAUUAGGUAAGAUAGAUUUUUAACUUCUUUUUAAAAGGUUGAAAAAAAAUUUCCAAAAUAACAAUUUUUAAUUUAAUUUUGUAGAACCGUAUCUACAUUAACUUGGAUGCAAUACAAUUACAUUUUAAGGUGAAACACGCUUUUCAAGGAAUUAUAAAUUAAAAACUUAAAUGCUGCACAUCAGUUCAAGUGGCACAGCAGUUAGUUCAUCCCAGGAAAUGUAGCAACCGGAUCGGCAUUGAUGUGCAGAUUUCGUUACGCAAUUCAUUACGUAAAUUACGACAAUGUAUAUUGCACGUAUUCAGAGAGGGACAUGUACAUGUUACUUGUACUUCAACUCUUAAGUAGUACCAUUAAUUAUAUUUGAGUAAUGCUAAAGUUGGAGAAUCUUGUUUCAUUAUUUCAUCUUUCACAAGAGUAUUCAAAUGUAUCGUUGCAUAAAGAUAAUACUAGAUAUGUACAUGUAUGCAUAUAUUGUAACAAAGGGUUUCGACCGAAGGAACGAAUUUGAGUCAGUGAACUGAUUGGCCGAGCGAGGAAAUGAGCAUAAUAUUUACGCGUGACUAACCUUGGUGGUAGAGGUAGUGUUCGCUCCUUCAGGAAUCUUGUUCCAAUUCACAACACCUUGCUCGGGAAUACGUGACAAAAUGCCA
Long non-coding RNA from Apis mellifera (honey bee), 719 nucleotides. RefSeq lists it as uncharacterized. NCBI's taxonomy places the organism in Eukaryota, Metazoa, Arthropoda, Insecta, Hymenoptera, Apidae. The record is from RefSeq and is a predicted model, not a curated record. The transcript is spliced from 2 exons.